Molecule: long non-coding RNA, 3493 nt
Organism: Sarcophilus harrisii (Tasmanian devil)
Lineage: Eukaryota; Metazoa; Chordata; Mammalia; Dasyuromorphia; Dasyuridae
Exons: 3
Source: RefSeq, a predicted model, not a curated record
AGCUCCCAUAGGCCCCGGGGCCCGCUUCUGUCACUUCCCUGCAGCUCCGCUAGGGCCCCGGGCCGCUUCAGUCACUUCCCCGCGGCUCCCAUAGGCCCCCGGGCCGCUUCAGUCACUUCCCCAGCUCCCAUAGGCCCCCGGGGCCCUCGGACGGGCCUCCCCCAAGCUUCAAGCCCAAGCGGCCGGAGCCGCUCGCAGCUCCCGUGGCCCGGGAGGCGCUUCCUUCCCUUCCCGUUGCCUCUCCCGGUGGCACCUGGCCCAAGCUUCUCCGUGGUCCCCAGCAGGGUCCCUGCCCCAAGAAGCUCCAGAUGGGGAGACUGAGGCUGAUUCCCCCGCAGCACCCAACGUGACCGGGAGGCCGGUUUCUGAGGUUGCUUUCUGCUUUGCUCCCAGACGGAGCGGGGACUCACCCCGUGGGCCGGCGCACACUGUUCUGGCCCCACUUUCAUAGGCUCUCGAAGGCCUUGAGGGCUUCUGGCAGCUCCUAGUCCUAAGAUGCCCUGAGAUGUCACUGCACGCGGAAAUGUGUCAGGCUAGGACGUUCUGCCGUAUCCCAGGAGGAUCUGUGGGCCCGCAGCCUCGGCAAUAACGCUAGCCAGGAGCAUUUACGGAGAAUGUAAGCGCUGUGCAAGCAUCUCAUUUUCUCCUUACGCCGGCCCUGGAAAGAGAUGCUAUUUUAAUCCCCAUCUUGCAGAGGGGGCACUGAAGGAAACAGCUUCCUGCCGCUAGCCUCUUGGUGGGCAGGAACGGCACCUGGGUCCCACUUUGGGGCCAUUUCCCACCUGUGCAUGUGCCGCCUUCCUCCCCCAGAGGCCAGGGCCUGCCUGGGAAGCUGUGGGUGCCGAGCCCAGCCCCGCACAGAGGAAGCCACUAGGACACACGGCGUGGUUCACUCCUCCUCUUGGCUGGCUACCGCAGCCAGGCAGCACCUGCCUCCCUAGUGCAGCGCACUUGCCCGGGGAAGAGGUGGGCUUGUGCGCUCCGGUAAAAACCUGUUGCCCCCACAAUCUGCCCGUCUCCGCCCACUCGGGCACAAUCGCCGAAGUGGCCACUGGGGGGAGCUCCGGGGGACAGAGAGGCAGCUGAGGAGGGCCCGGGAGAAGGAGAGCCCAGCCCCAGCUGCAUGAAGUCCCUGGGAGGGGGCUGCCCUGGGAGCAGCCAGUGACGGCCCGAGCGGGGCGGCCCCGAGCUGCUGCUCCUCCCCGGCCCACGGAGAUCGCGGGGCGCUCUCUGCUAACUCAUCUUAGGUUCGGCUUUGUGGAGGUGGGCCGGAAACGGGGGGGGGGGGAAGACCAACAAAGGCUUCAGAAAGCACCGCUUUGAGGAAGUUGCGCCAGCCUUGGCCGUGGAGAUGUGCCUCCCGCCAGGAGCCAACCCGCCGUCUCCCGGGCGGCCUGGCCGGGGUGCGCGGCCCCUCGGGCUUUUCCUGGCGGGCAGCAGAGGCGGGUGGGGAAUGGGGGCAGCCUCCGGAGCCACUGCCAGUAUUCUAAAUCAGUGAUCUUUGGCCGGGGCCAAGCACGUUAUGGAAGAAGGCAGCACCGAGGACUUGUUCUCCAUCUAAUGAAGCCAGAAGACAGAAAAGGUGACAGUACCUCCGAAGAGGGUUUGUCAGUCCUGCAGAGGAGACUGCAGGAGGUUUCUUUUUGUACUCCAGGACACUAACCCACCUCACGAGGCAUUGAGCAGCAUCAGAAGUCAGACCACUCUGGGAUCACCUUCUUUUGGACUUAAGGAGUUGGUUUACUGAUGUCCUUCCUGAGCUGUGGCCCCUAAAACUGAGCCACAUCCUCUGGGAAGAUAUGGCUCUGAGUGGGGCAGGAAGCAGGGGGACUUCCAUAUUGAGCUUGUGGAACACUCAACCCUAAGAUCUUUUUUCUUUCUUUUUUUCAUAUGAACUCCUGAUUAGACAUGUCUGCAUCUUCUACACAUCAGUUGCCAGUGUUGUGGUGAAUAUUCAGUCUGGUCAAUCUGAGCUGCUCAGCCCAAAGGAGAGGAAAUACUGGUUUUCUUUAACUGAUAAUUUGGUCAGAGACCAAAAGCCACUCUCCACACAGAUAAUGGGAUGAGGAUGGAGUCCCAUGCUUUCCUCCCCCCAGCCUCCUCACACGCCCCAAUCAGAGCCUCCACCCUGAAUUCAUAGCCUUUGUUGGUGUGUUCUAUUCAUUAGCGAUUAGAUCAGUCAAAGUCUUAUAUCUUGUUACAUUUGCCAUCACACUAGAGCCACAUAGAAGGAUUUACGUGAUCCAUUCCUGAGCUUGAUUUGGGACCCUACAGCUAACCUUUCUCUAGUGCUUCCUCUGGGCUUCAAGUAUUAUACUAAGCCUGAGGCUUACUAAGGAAGGAGAAGACAGUCCCUUUCCUCUAGGAUCCCACAAUCAUUGUGUCUGCUAACGGGCCAGGAUGGGUCAGAGUCAGGAUACACAGCCCAAGAUUAUAUAACCAAGAAAUGGUAAAGUCAAGAGUGAGACUGCGCCCUGUUGGGAUGAAACUGACUCAGCGAGGCAGAAUGGGGAAUGGUGGGGAACCCUGGGGAGAAGGUCCUGGGUGACUAUAGCUUGCUGUCCUUGGGGGCAGAGGUCUCAAGUAGAAACCCCUAGAGAUUGAGGGAAGUUUGACAUUUGGAAACAGGCAUUGGCAGCAUGCUGAUCGAGUUUGCAUGUGAAACAGGACUGGAUGAGAUAUGUUUGGUGGCCAAAUCUGGAUCCAAAAAGAUCUCAGCGGCACAAAACAUUAGACUAAAUCUACUAAGAUAUAAUUUAGUGGGGGGAAAUGACAAAGUUCAUACCUAGAUGUCUAAGAUUUGAUUUAUAGUAUAUAGAGAAGUGUGGUCAGCCAGUACUUUCACCUGAAAAAUAGAUCUGGGUGUUUAAUGGACCCCAAGCUCAAUGGGUGUCAACAAUGGGAGCUACAACAAAGAGCUAAUGUGAUAGAGAUCAGAGUAAAAGAGAAGUCACACCCAGAAUGAGGGAGGUGAGCAGAUCAGUUGUAGGCACCCGUUUAGGAAGGAUCCUGAUCAGUUAAACAUUCAAUGGAAAGACACUGACUGGCUUUGGCUAAUUUUUCCAGCUGGGUUUUGUACCAUUUCCUGGGACCCUCUGGUUCCUUAGAUCUUAGAGUGGGGAGGAUGCUUGGCCCUCUGGCCCUAUUGGCUCUCCCAGGGCUCUCCAGUUCUGGGCCGGGAGUGCACAUUUAGCCCAGUAGAAGGAUAUCCAUACCUCCCUAAUAGAGCUGGAUGGGUCCCGUGGGGCCGGUUCCCUGCACUGAGUAAAUACAUGCUUGGAUCAGCUUAGUGCACACAGACGUGGCAAUGACUCCUUGUUUUUCCAGUUGUCCAGGUGAAAUUCACCUGUGCCACUUUAUAAAGCCCAACAGACCACAAUGGCUCGUUUGUUUGGAGCAACGGUUAGGGUCUAGUGUUUACCACAAGAAUGGGAGGCUAAUCCUACCAGGCUAUCCAUGAACAGAAAAUAAAUAUACUCAUAGUGACCUUUCA